CAACUUUCAGCAACGGAUCUCUUGGCUCUCGCAUCGAUGAAGAACGCAGCGAAAUGCGAUAAGUAAUGUGAAUUGCAGAAUUCAGUGAAUCAUCGAAUCUUUGAACGCACCUUGCGCCCCUUGGCUAUUCCGAGGAGCAUGCCUGUUUGAGUAUCAU
This 157-nucleotide ribosomal RNA is filed under the name uncultured Tomentella. RNAcentral's name for it is "5.8S ribosomal RNA". It matches the Rfam family "5.8S ribosomal RNA". From Rfam's summary of the family: 5.8S ribosomal RNA (5.8S rRNA) is a component of the large subunit of the eukaryotic ribosome. It is transcribed by RNA polymerase I as part of the 45S precursor that also contains 18S and 28S rRNA. Functionally, it is thought that 5.8S rRNA may be involved in ribosome translocation. Lineage: Eukaryota; Fungi; Basidiomycota; Agaricomycetes; Thelephorales; Thelephoraceae. The record is from RNAcentral.